AUGUCGGCGAAGAAGGGGCUCUCGAGCACGCUGCGGAACCUCAAGUUUAUGCAGCGGGCGGCGGUGGCGCAGAAGAUUGAGGACAAGGCCGAUGUGGAGGUGGAGGAGCCGGCGGCCGAGGUGGUGAUGACGCCGGCGGCCAACGGUGGAGGGGUCGGCUCGUCGGUCCAGGUCGCCAGGAAGUGUGUAGUUGUCAUGGAGGGUAAUCCGCUUCCAGGAGCUGUAAAGGGUCGAAUGUCAUUCCAAAAUUUCAAUCCAUCCAUUGAUAAACUAAAUGACGAGGCAAGUGGUCGGCCAACACAAUCAGCUUCACCUAGUAAUUCUCAACAAGACAGUGCAAAUACCAGCAGAGUGGAUGAUAUAUCAGCAUCAAGAUUUAGAAGCUUCAAUGUUGAUAGUUCAGAAAGCAUAUCUCUGAAUGAGUUGAAGAGAAAAGAGCCUGAGCUGGAGAUGGAAACACCACCAUCGCGCAAGCUGCCAAAGACGACUGGCCAGAACGUGGAUGGCCAGCCGUCUUCGCAGAGCAAUGGUCGUGGGUCUGGCAAGUCGAACAAGCAUGAAAAGCUUGACUUUAACCUUCUCAGAAAACGGAAAUCAAAAUGA
Molecule: ribosomal RNA, 603 nt
Filed under: Triticum aestivum (bread wheat)
Lineage: Eukaryota; Viridiplantae; Streptophyta; Magnoliopsida; Poales; Poaceae
Description: partial small subunit ribosomal RNA
Source: RNAcentral